CUUUUCACUUUAGGGACUCUAGUCCAGCCACGUCUUCUUAGGGAACGUAUAACUGUUUUUCUCUCAAAUAUCACCAGUUUGCCUCUCCCAUAGGCUACUUGUAGACUCUCACAAAAAAAAAAAAUCUGUUUACUCUAUCGCUCUGGCAGAUCCAUAAAGUAUUGGCUGUUUCUUUCUACGGGUAGGAUGCCAAAUGGUGCUUCCACAAUAAACUGAUGCUCUUCUUCACCGUAAUAAACGCUAUCGGACGCUGCCUAGCCUUUGGCAACAGUACAAUAUCUUCUGAUCCCAUACACAGUCGGACGCCACAGGCUUAAUCUUGCCUCUACUUUCCUCCUUUGCCGAUCCGCACAUUGUCCGACCUAGCUCCUCUUCCUCCACUCAUCAGUUCAACGUCUUCUCACAAGAUGAAUUUAGAGUUUGCUCCAGCCUCGAUAUUUUAUUGAUUUGCGUCCACACACCCCCGGUCAAACUGAUCAAUUGUGCAUUACAAGUUGGGGCUCAACAGCAUAGCUGCCGUUACGCCGUAUGAAAGCGGCAUUCUCAAUCUCGGCAUUAGAGGCUACUAGAUGUGUUCGACUAAAUUCACAGAAAAAGGCGGAAUACAUGCUUUUUAUCCAGGCUUUGGCGCAUAAUAAGGUAUGUUUAGUUUGAGGAUUUUUUUGCUUCAUCCUUCUUUUGGUUUUUGCAAAUUUGGUGCAAUUUUCUAUUUAAUACUAUAUUCAGGUCCCACGUUUGUCGGGAUCCUCCCAAUAUGUAACUGGCCAGAAAUAAUAUGUGCAUGAAAAGCUCAAGCAACAGGUCUCCAAGGACUAGAAGGAUUGGAGAUGUGGCCGGGUUGUCGGGCAAACCUUCACGUCCUCCUUGGAUGUGAUCCGAAGAGAGAUGCGGAUGCAUGCUACAAGUCAUCAUGAUAUUAAUCUCAACCUAAUUUUCUCAAUCUUUGGUUCAUCUCAUCCUUGGACCUAGCGAUUCACCCAAUUGAAGAAAAGCGUGCUUAUAUUAGCUGGUGAGCCCACUGCCUAGAAAAUAAGCUGGACGCUACAGGAUAUCAAAUAUACUUUGCAUGAAAAACUAAUGUGAAAUUCGAGCUGAUCUACGGUCUUACCAUCUUAUGUUUGAUUUAUCUGGGUCAAGAAUAAGGUGCAUGAGAAUUUUGGUAUAACAGCACCAUGUAGGCGCUAAUUAACUUCUAUCGCUCGUGACCAAGGAUGGAGGCAACUCUACGUGGGCUUGACCAUCAAUUAUAUCAGGGAACAUAUGUUGCAUACAAGGAGCUGUACAAGUUGAUUUCUUGAUAAUUUUUAUUGUGUAGGUUGUUUCUUUGGCGGUCGUUGAAUUUACAGCCUACGAUGUAGUCAAGUUAUGGCUAUAGUUUUCAUAGAUGGACUGAUACCUUGACUCACCUUGUGAUCAAUUCCAAACGGCAGAGCGGUAUCUCACUUGAUAUAUAUCCUCAAGACAAGAACAUUUAUGUUCUCCUCACAUUCUCAAGACAAGAACAAUUAUGUUCUCAUCAUAGAAACGUUGGAACCUUUGAUGCUUUAGCUAUAUAUAAUAUAAGCCUAAAUGCUGGUUUUGGCUGAGAAAAAUUUACUAUAGAUUUUUUUCACUUAGAUGUAAUCAAAUUGUUUGCAGUGUUCUUUGAGAAAUUGGAAGCAAUCAAUCAACAUGUCUGUUCCCUAGAA
Non-coding RNA from Punica granatum (pomegranate), 1688 nucleotides. Lineage: Eukaryota; Viridiplantae; Streptophyta; Magnoliopsida; Myrtales; Lythraceae. The record is from RefSeq and is a predicted model, not a curated record.